RNAcentral lists this ribosomal RNA (455 nucleotides) under uncultured bacterium. RNAcentral describes it as "bacterial SSU rRNA". It matches the Rfam family "Bacterial small subunit ribosomal RNA", at positions 340 to 786 of the family's 1533-position model. The record is from RNAcentral.
UACGGGAGGCAGCAGUGGGGAAUAUUGCACAAUGGGCGCAAGCCUGAUGCAGCCAUGCCGCGUGUAUGAAGAAGGCCUUCGGGUUGUAAAGUACUUUCAGCGGGGAGGAAGGCGAUGCGGUUAAUAACCGCGUCGAUUGACGUUACCCGCAGAAGAAGCACCGGCUAACUCCGUGCCAGCAGCCGCGGUAAUACGGAGGGUGCAAGCGUUAAUCGGAAUUACUGGGCGUAAAGCGCACGCAGGCGGUCUGUUAAGUCAGAUGUGAAAUCCCCGGGCUUAACCUGGGAACUGCAUUUUGAAACUGGCAGGCUUGAGUCUUGUAGAGGGGGUAGAAUUCCAGGUGUAGCGGUGAAAUGCGUAGAGAUCUGGAGGAAUACCGGUGGCGAAGGCGGCCCCUGGGACAAAGCUGACGCUCAGGUGCGAAAGCGUGGGGAGCAAACAGGGAUUAGGAUACC